CUAAGUUAGCAGUAUAUUUCUUUACGCUCCAUUUACAUUUUCUAGUCCCAUCAUUACUGCGUGAUUUUAGCCACGUGAGGUCACCUGACGCGCCAGCUCGAGGAGAAGGCAGAGCGGCAGCGGCUACAGGGCAUGCGCACACCGGCAGCUCGUGUCACUCACUGAGGGACUCUUGGAAAAACAGGCCGCAGGGGGAGCUGUGAGGAUACAAAUGUGAAGCUUCACACAGCCUUCUUGCCAGACUCAUGGAACAAGGGUGCUCUGAGACUGCAGCCAAGAGUGUCCAGAGUUGGUUCACAGUCUCCUGCAAGUUCCACAGCUGGUACCCAAGUCGAUUACCUAUUACCCCAUGCACUGGUUGGUGAGGCUGCUGGAUUCCACAACUCCCACAGAGUUGUUAAGUUUCAGAGAACUUCAAAGAACUUGGAGCAGGCCAUUUUACUGGAGUGGGUUGCCAUUUUAUUCUCAAGGAGAUCUUCCCGAUUUGAGGAUCGAACCAGCGGCUCCUGCUUGGCUAGCAUGAAGCUAAUAAUGUUAGCUGGGAACCUCCUAUGACACUGGGAAAUGAAGAGACUGAGAAUAGAAAAAGGAAGCAAAAUGUUGUCAAUAGUCUCUUAAAACCUAGAAAACAACGAGUGUUCUCUCUAAAAGGUGGCUAUAGAAAUUUUCUUCUCCGAGAUUGUCAUCCCUAAGGACUUUGCACAGCUUAUUGGUCAAAACGAAGUAUCUGAGCCAAAGCCGCUUACUUCAGCCAGACUCUCUCCAGACCAAGUUACUCAUACAGACAGACAGUGACUGAUUCUCCAGCAAAAGGCAGAGUUAGACUUGUAAUCAGCAUCUUAGAAUAUAAAAAUUUCAUGUAAAAUAAGGCUAUGAGUUAUGAGAAAUCAAGAGAAAACUGGACUAUUCAAAAGCUCUUUCCAGGUUUCCUGCUCCUUCUAGCAUCAAACAUCAUCUUACAAGAGUCUUACAAGGACAACUAUGAUGACUGCUGUUUGGAAUACAAUGGGUGUGCAACUGUAAACUGUAUCCCAAUUACAGGAAUGUUACAAUGUAAAACAAAAGUGCAUCUUAUAAGUGAUGAAAUAAUAUUUCAAUUUGGUUGAAAUAAUA
Molecule: non-coding RNA, 1113 nt
Organism: Odocoileus virginianus texanus
Lineage: Eukaryota; Metazoa; Chordata; Mammalia; Artiodactyla; Cervidae
Source: RefSeq, a predicted model, not a curated record